Molecule: ribosomal RNA, 843 nt
Filed under: uncultured bacterium
Lineage: Bacteria
Description: bacterial SSU rRNA
Rfam family: Bacterial small subunit ribosomal RNA
Source: RNAcentral
GCUGGCGGCGCGCCUAACACAUGCAAGUCGAGCGGUGAACCCUGUCUUAUGAUGGGGGGAUCAGCGGCGGACGGGUGCGUAACACGUGGGCAACCUGUCCCAAAGUGGGGGACAACCAUUCGAAAGGAUGGCUAAUACCGCAUGUGCUCGGCAAACUUCGGUUUGUCGAGUAAAGGUCGGUGCUUCGGUACUGGCCGCUUUGGGAGGGGCCCGCGGCCUAUCAGGUAGUUGGUGAGGUAACGGCUCACCAAGCCGAUGACGGGUAGGGGGCGUGAGAGCGUGGCCCCCCACACGGGAACUGAGACACGGUCCCGACGCCUACGGGCGGCAGCAGUGAGGAAUCUUGCGCAAUGGGCGAAAGCCUGACGCAGCGACGCCGCGUGGGGGAUGAAGGCCGUGAGGUCGUAAACCCCUUUUCUGGGGGACGAGGAAGGACGGUACCCCAGGAAUAAGUCCCGGCUAACUACGUGCCAGCAGCCGCGGUAAUACGUAGGGGGCGAGCGUUAUCCGGAUUUACUGGGCGUAAAGCGCGCGCAGGCGGCCAUGUAAGUCGAGCGUGAAAGCUCCCGGCUCAACUGGGAGAGGUCGUUCGAUACUGCGUGGCUUGAGGUCGGGAGAGGAGAGUGGAAUUCCCGGUGUAGCGGUGAAAUGCGCAGAUAUCGGGAGGAACACCAGUGGCGAAGGCGGCUCUCUGGCCCGUACCUGACGCUCAGGCGCGAAAGCGUGGGGAGCGAAGGGGAUUAGAUACCCCCGUAGUCCACGCCCUAAACGAUGGGUGCUAGGUGUGGGUGGUUUAAAAGCCAUCCGUGCCGUAGCUAACGCGUUAAGCACCCCGCCUGGGGA